Molecule: ribosomal RNA, 253 nt
Filed under: uncultured bacterium
Lineage: Bacteria
Description: partial 16S ribosomal RNA
Rfam family: Bacterial small subunit ribosomal RNA
Source: RNAcentral
UACGUAGGGGGCGAGCGUUGUCCGGAGUUACUGGGCGUAAAGCGCACGCAGGCGGUCUGCUAAGUUUGGAGUGACAGUUGGUGGCUUAACUGCCAAAGUGCUUCGAAAACUGACAGACUUGAGGGCUUCAGAGGGAUACGGAAUUCCGGGUGGAGUGGUGAAAUGCGUAGAGAUCCGGAGGAACACCAAAGGCGAAGGCAGUGUCCUGGGGAGUACCUGACGCUCAGGUGCGAAAGCCAGGGGAGCGAACGGG